UACGAAGGGGGCUAGCGUUGCUCGGAAUCACUGGGCGUAAAGCGCACGUAGGCGGAUUGUUAAGUCAGGGGUGAAAUCCUGGAGCUCAACUCCAGAACUGCCUUUGAUACUGGCGAUCUUGAGUCCGGGAGAGGUGAGUGGAACUGCGAGUGUAGAGGUGAAAUUCGUAGAUAUUCGCAAGAACACCAGUGGCGAAGGCGGCUCACUGGCCCGGUACUGACGCUGAGAUACGAAAGCGUGGGGAGCAAACAGG
This 253-nucleotide ribosomal RNA is filed under the name uncultured bacterium. RNAcentral's name for it is "partial 16S ribosomal RNA". It matches the Rfam family "Bacterial small subunit ribosomal RNA", at positions 524 to 776 of the family's 1533-position model. The record is from RNAcentral.